This 522-nucleotide ribosomal RNA is filed under the name uncultured bacterium. RNAcentral's name for it is "partial 16S ribosomal RNA". It matches the Rfam family "Bacterial small subunit ribosomal RNA", at positions 355 to 870 of the family's 1533-position model. The record is from RNAcentral.
UAGGGAAUCUUCCACAAUGGACGCAAGUCUGAUGGAGCAACGCCGCGUGAGUGAAGAAGGUUUUCGGACCGUAAAGCUCUGUUGUUGGUGAAGAAGGAUAGAGGUAGUAACUGGCCUUUAUUUGACGGUAAUCAACCAGAAAGUCACGGCUAACUACGUGCCAGCAGCCGCGGUAAUCGUAGGUGGCAAGCGUUGUCCGGAUUUAUUGGGCGUAAAGCGAGCGCAGGCGGAAGAAUAAGUCUGAUGUGAAAGCCCUCGGCUUAACCGAGGAAUUGCAUCGGAAACUGUUUUCUUGAGUGCAGAAGAGGAGAGUAGAACUCCAUGUGUAGCGGUGGAAUGCGUAGAUAUAUGGAAGAAUACCAGUGGCGAAGGCGGCUCUCUGGUCUGCAACUGACGCUGAGGCUCGAAAGCAUGGGUAGCGAACAGGAUUAGAUACCCUGGUAGUCCAUGCCGUAAACGAUGAGUGCUAAGUGUUGGGAGGCUUCCGCCUCUCAGUGCUGCAGCUAACGCAUUAAGCACUCC